UUGCCUACGGGAGGCAGCAGUGAGGGAUAUUGGUCAAUGGGGGAAACCCUGAACCAGCAACGCCGCGUGAGGGAAGCCGGUUUUCGGAUUGUAAACCUCUGUCCUCUGUGAAGAUAAUGACGGUAUCUAACGAAUAAGCACCGGCUAACUCCGUGCCAGCAGCCGCGGUAAUACGGAGGGUGCAAGCGUUACUCGGAAUCACUGGGCGUAAAGAGCGCGUAGGCGGGAUAGCAAGUCAGAUGUGAAAUCCUAUGGCUUAACCAUAGAACUGCAUUUGAAACUGUUAUUCUAGAGUAUGGGAGAGG
Molecule: ribosomal RNA, 305 nt
Filed under: uncultured bacterium
Lineage: Bacteria
Description: bacterial SSU rRNA
Rfam family: Bacterial small subunit ribosomal RNA
Source: RNAcentral